Long non-coding RNA from Cyprinus carpio (common carp), 467 nucleotides. RefSeq lists it as uncharacterized. The record is from RefSeq and is a predicted model, not a curated record. The transcript has 3 exons. NCBI's taxonomy places the organism in Eukaryota, Metazoa, Chordata, Actinopteri, Cypriniformes, Cyprinidae.
GGGGUGUAAGCGCUCCCGGUUAGGAAUGCACGGUUCUAUCUCAGCACCAUUUUCCCGGUUGCUAACUGCUCUCAGUGAAACUGAUAUGAUGGUGAAAUGGCUCCCUCCGGUUCAAAUAUUGAGCAGCAAGCCUUUGACGGUAUUAAUACAUCGGCUGCGAUUGAUCCAGACAGCGCAGCCGAUGGUAAAACAAGAUCCAUCUCCAACAUUUAGCUGAUGCCUGUAUGUAAUUCGAGAACUUUGACCUUUACUACCAUUAGGCUAUGUUAUGCUUCAUUUAAAAAAGUGUGUGUAAACACAAUAUAGAGUGGAGCAAAUCUAGCCGUGGAGCAAAUCUAGCCGUGAAAUUGCCAUUAUCUGGCUUUUGCUUUGGUCGUAAACUUUACACAUACCGCUGAUAUUUUCACAAACAGAACGGAAGAGUCAUUAUGCAUGCUCUCUGUCGCUGUUCAAAAAAUAACACUAUU